Molecule: ribosomal RNA, 703 nt
Filed under: Bacillus sp. (in: firmicutes)
Lineage: Bacteria; Bacillati; Bacillota; Bacilli; Caryophanales; Bacillaceae
Description: bacterial SSU rRNA
Rfam family: Bacterial small subunit ribosomal RNA
Source: RNAcentral
CUAUACAUGCAAGUCGAGCGGACAGAUGGGAGCUUGCUCCCUGAUGUUAGCGGCGGACGGGUGAGUAACACGUGGGUAACCUGCCUGUAAGACUGGGAUAACUCCGGGAAACCGGGGCUAAUACCGGAUGGUUGUUUGAACCGCAUGGUUCAGACAUAAAAGGUGGCUUCGGCUACCACUUACAGAUGGACCCGCGGCGCAUUAGCUAGUUGGUGAGGUAACGGCUCACCAAGGCAACGAUGCGUAGCCGACCUGAGAGGGUGAUCGGCCACACUGGGACUGAGACACGGCCCAGACUCCUACGGGAGGCAGCAGUAGGGAAUCUUCCGCAAUGGACGAAAGUCUGACGGAGCAACGCCGCGUGAGUGAUGAAGGUUUUCGGAUCGUAAAGCUCUGUUGUUAGGGAAGAACAAGUGCCGUUCAAAUAGGGCGGCACCUUGACGGUACCUAACCAGAAAGCCACGGCUAACUACGUGCCAGCAGCCGCGGUAAUACGUAGGUGGCAAGCGUUGUCCGGAAUUAUUGGGCGUAAAGGGCUCGCAGGCGGUUUCUUAAGUCUGAUGUGAAAGCCCCCGGCUCAACCGGGGAGGGUCAUUGGAAACUGGGGAACUUGAGUGCAGAAGAGGAGAGUGGAAUUCCACGUGUAGCGGUGAAAUGCGUAGAGAUGUGGAGGAACACCAGUGGCGAAGGCGACUCUCUGGUC